CGGAUAGUAGUUCAGUUGGGAGAAUACUUAGUGCGCUAAGAGGUCAUGGGUUCAAAUCCUGUCUAUCCGA
This 70-nucleotide transfer RNA is filed under the name Lachnospiraceae bacterium. Its description in RNAcentral is "tRNA-OTHER". It matches the Rfam family "tRNA". From Rfam's summary of the family: Transfer RNA (tRNA) molecules are approximately 80 nucleotides in length. Their secondary structure includes four short double-helical elements and three loops (D, anti-codon, and T loops). Further hydrogen bonds mediate the characteristic L-shaped molecular structure. tRNAs have two regions of fundamental functional importance: the anti-codon, which is responsible for specific mRNA codon recognition, and the 3' end, to which the tRNAs corresponding amino acid is attached (by aminoacyl-tRNA synthetases). tRNAs cope with the degeneracy of the genetic code in two manners: having more than one tRNA (with a specific anti-codon) for a particular amino acid; and 'wobble' base-pairing, i.e. permitting non-standard base-pairing at the 3rd anti-codon position. Lineage: Bacteria; Bacillati; Bacillota; Clostridia; Lachnospirales; Lachnospiraceae. The record is from RNAcentral. RNAcentral also lists the same sequence under 1 other name.